GCCGCUCGCGGGGCAGCCAGGCCUCGGCGUGGUGGCCUUAGGGGCUGGGCCGGGAGCCGGCGUAGAGGAGGAGGAGGAAGCUGCGGUGAUCGCCCCCGAGGGCUCCGCGGGGUGCGCACUCACCGCCCAGGCCCUCAGGAGGCCGCCGCCCGCUCUCCACUCCGGGCCCGCAGGACCGCCAUGGACCCGGUUGCUCUGCGCGGAAGCUGCAGAUAAGAAUUGGUUAAAUUUUAUUCACCUCAUAAGUGAAUAUAAGUAAGAAUGGAUCAACUUUGUAUUCACCUGGAGGCAGUCCAGAUAUUCACGUUGUCAAACUGAAAUCCUGGAGCAGAGUUUCUACAACUGUGAGUCACCAUCCAUUAAUCAGUUAUGAGAUUGAUUGAGAGAGUUGUUACCGAUAUUUUAAAACAGAA
Rhinopithecus roxellana (golden snub-nosed monkey) is the source of this 413-nucleotide long non-coding RNA. RefSeq lists it as uncharacterized. The transcript has 3 exons. NCBI's taxonomy places the organism in Eukaryota, Metazoa, Chordata, Mammalia, Primates, Cercopithecidae. The record is from RefSeq and is a predicted model, not a curated record.